UUAACACCUUAUGUACACAUGUGUAUUCUCACACUCUGCCACAUCCUUAGCACAUAGUUUUCUACUUAAAGUUAAAAAGAAGAAAGAAAAAAAACUUUAGACUUUUUCCCCUUUAUCUUGUUUUUAUUGGAUGUGUCACUCUCUGUAUAUCCUCUUCCAGAUGCAGAGAAAAUCUCUCAUAUUGACUGACAUUUGGAGUGUCGACUGUGAUCCAGCUUCUGAAGCUCUGGGCAACAGGGUAUACCUGUAAGAGAGCAAAUGAAAGGAACUGAUUUUUGUCAGAUGGCCAACUUGUCAGCAGGCAAAGACCAGAUCCAUCGAGAGAUAGUUUUGCUUUUCACCGAGAAGCACUGAUGACCAAGUGAAAAGACAGGCAGAGGAGGAUAACUAGUGACAGCAUCGUCCUCUCUAAUAGCACAGUGGCCUUUAGACCCGAGACCAUUGAUACCUCCAAACAGCACGCUGGUCAGCAUCAAGUUCAUCCGAUGCCCCUUACCCUUCAUUGGCUCUCCAUUGUCUGGGAUGGAGCUGGGAUAAGUGGCACAUCGGUAAAGAAUGCUGAUUGGCCGGUGAACAAACCCCAGGGGAUUUCAUUAAUGUGGCGGCAGAUGCAGCAUCAUUAGAGCUCUAUCCUCAGUCAUCGCGGCCUGCGUAUGAAAAAGAGGACGUGAGAGAGGGGAGGGGAGUUAGGUAGGAAGGGAAAUAUGUCUUAUUCUGUGUGAUCUCUGAGGCGUCUUGCUGCAAAUGAGGUCCUCUUGUGGGUCUACCUGUCUAUGUCUCAGUCUGAUUUCACCUUCAUUGAUUUUGUAAACAUUUGCAGCUCUUCAAGCCCUUCACAGCCAUUGACUUCUUUUGAAGAGCAAAGGUAAUCAUGAAAUGAUCUGAUGCAGGAUUUGUCACAACGCUGGGGCUCACUGCGAAUGAGAUUUGGUGGUAUCCUGCAAAAUGUCUCUUUUUUUUUCCCUCUCUCUCUCGAUCUCCGAAGAUGAAGUGUCUCUUUUCCUGUCCACCUUGUCCUGGUGUCAGUAUUAUCCAUUAGACUGAUAGAUGGUGGUAGAAAGAUGUCUCUUUACCGGCAGACACGGGGACACAUCUAGUCUGUCAGAGAUGAAUAGACCACAGACUCAGAGUGGAAGGCUGGUUUUUAUGCCAAAACUGGUCACCCUCACAGAAACAGUCCUGUGCGAUUCCACAAGAGAGCUCAAAUCAUUGUCUUU
This is a long non-coding RNA of Carassius carassius (crucian carp), 1217 nucleotides long. RefSeq lists it as uncharacterized. The record is from RefSeq and is a predicted model, not a curated record. NCBI's taxonomy places the organism in Eukaryota, Metazoa, Chordata, Actinopteri, Cypriniformes, Cyprinidae. The transcript has 3 exons.